CUUGUGUUUUGACAUUUUGGAGGAGUUGACAGAUAAAGACAAGGCUUGGGGGUAUUUCAAAUGACAAGGAGGUGCUUGGAGCUGGAGUUGAACCAGCGACCUUAGGAUCACAGCGUUUCACACAAGGAGCAUCUUACAGUCCACCGCUCUACCAACUGAGCUAUCAAGGUGCUCUCUAGUCACAAGUGCAGAAAACAUAGUGGCUUCGAAGACACACUAUGCCCACAGAACUAUUCCAACCCAUGGUCAAUGAAAAGCCCAGCCCUACCUGCAGAACAAAGCUUUGCAGUUUGUACCCAACAGUCAUUGCCAGGGACCCAGAACUGAUAAUCAGGACUUUUAGGCUGGGUGAAUAAAAAAUUGAUGGUUGAAAAUUUAAGAAAGAGUUAACUUGUUUGUGUUUUGACAUUUUGGAGGAGUUGACAGAUAAAGACAAGGCUUGGGGGUAUUUCCAAUGACAAGGAGGUGCUUGGAGCUGGAGUUGAACCAGCGGCCUUAGGAUCACAGCGUUUCACACAAGGAGCAUCUUACAGUCCACCGCUCUACCAACUGAGCUAUCAAGGUGCACUCUAAUCACAAGUGCAGAUAACAUAGUGGCUUCGAAGACACACUAUGCCCACAGAACUAUUCUAACCCAUUGUGAAUGAAAAGCCCAGCCCUACCUGCAGAACAAAGCUUUGCAGUUUGUACCCAACAGUCAUUGCCAGGGACCCAGAACUGAUAAUCAGGACUUUUAGGCUGGGUGAAUAAAAAAUUGAUGGUUGAAAAUUUAAGAAAGUUAUCUUGUUUGUGUUUUGACAUUUUGGAGGAGUUGACAGAUAAAGACAAGGCUUGGGGGUAUUUCCAAUGACAAGGAGGUGCUUGGAGCUGGAGUUGAACCAGCGACCUUAGGAUCACAGGGUUUCACACAAGGAGCAUCUUACAGUCCACCGCUCUAUCAGCUGAGCUAUCAAGGUGCUCUCUAAUCACAAGUGCAGAAAACAUAGUGGCUUCGAAGACACACUAUGCCCACAGAACUAUUCCAACCCAUGGUCAAUGAAAAGCCCAGCCCUACCUGCAGAACAAAGCUUUGCAGUUUGUACCCAACAGUCAUUGCCAGGGACCAUGAACUGAUAAUCAGGACUUUUAGGCUGGGUGAAUAAAAAAUUGAUGGUUGAAAAUUUAGGAAAGAGUUAUCUUGUUUGUGUUUUGACAUUUUGGAGGAGUAGACAGAUAAAGACAAGGCUUGGGGGUAUUUCCAAUGAAGUGCUUGGAGCUGGAGUUGAACCAGCGGCCUUAGGAUCACAGCGUUUCACACAAGGAGCAUCUUACAGUCCACCGCUCUACCAACUGAGCUAUCAAGGUGCACUCUAAUCACAAGUGUAGAUAACAUAGUGGCUUCGAAGACACACUAUGCCCACAGAACUAUUCUAACCCAUUGUGAAUGAAAAGCCCAGCCCUACCUGCAGAACAAAGCUUUGCAGUUUGUACCCAACAGUCAUUGCCAGGGACCCAGAACUGAUAAUCAGGACUUUUAGGCUGGGUGAAUAAAAAAUUGAUGGUUGAAAAUUUAAGAAAGUUAUCUUGUUUGUGUUUUGACAUUUUGGAGGAGUUGACAGAUAAAGACAAGGCUUGGGGGUAUUUCCAAUGACAAGGAGGUGCUUGGAGCUGGAGUUGAACCAGCGACGUUAGGAUGACAGCUUUUCACACAAGGAGCAUCAUUACAGUCCACCGCUCUACCAACUGAGCUAUCAAGGUGCUCUCUAGUCACAAGUGCAGAAAACAUAGUGGCUUCGAAGACACACUAUGCCCACAGAACUAUUCCAACCCAUGGUCAAUGAAAAGCCCAGCCCUACCUGCAGAACAAAGCUUUGCAGUUUGUACCCAACAGUCAUUGCCAGGGACCAUGAACUGAUAAUCAGGACUUUUAGGCUGGGUGAAUAAAAAAUUGAUGGUUGAAAAUUUAGGAAAGAGUUAUCUUGUUUGUGUUUUGACAUUUUGGAGGAGUAGACAGAUAAAGACAAGGCUUGGGGGUAUUUCCAAUGAAGUGCUUGGAGCUGGAGUUGAACCAGCGGCCUUAGGAUCACAGCGUUUCACACAAGGAGCAUCUUACAGUCCACCGCUCUACCAACUGAGCUAUCAAGGUGCUCUCUAGUCACAAGAGCAGAAAACAUAGUGGCUUCGAAGACACACUAUGCCCACAGAACUAUUCCAACCCAUGGUCAAUGAAAAGCCCAGCCCUACCUGCAGAACAAAGCUUUGCAGUUUGUACCCAACAGUCAUUGCCAGGGACCCAGAACUGAUAAUCAGGACUUUUAGGCUGGGUGAAUAAAAAAUUGAUGGUUGAAAAUUUAAGAAAGAGUUAUCUUGUUUGUGUUUUGACAUUUUGGAGGAGUUGACAGAUAAAGACAAGGCUUGGGGGUAUUUCCAAUGACAAGGAGGUGCUUGGAGCUGGAGUUGAACCAGCGACCUUAGGAUCACAGCGUUUCACACAAGGAGCAUCUUACAGUCCACCGCUCUACCAACUGAGCUAUCAAGGUGCUCUCUAGUCACAGGUGCAGAAAACAUAGUGGCUUUGAAGACACACUAUGCCCACAGAACUAUUCCAACCCAUGGUCAAUGAAAAGCCCAGCCCUACCUGCAGAACAAAGCUUUGCAGUUUGUACCCAACAGUCAUUGCCAGGGACCCAGAACUGAUAAUCAGGACUUUUAGGCUGGGUGAAUAAAAAAUUGAUGGUUGAAAAUUUAAGAAAGAGUUAUCUUGUUUGUGUUUUGACAUUUUGGAGGAGUUGACAGAUAAAGACAAGGCUUGGGGGUAUUUCCAAUGACAAGGAGGUGCUUGGAGCUGGAGUUGAACCAGCGGCCUUAGGAUCACAGCGUUUCACACAAGGAGCAUCUUACAGUCCACCGCUCUACCAACUGAGCUAUCAAGGUGCUCUCUAGUCACAAGAGCAGAAAACAUAGUGGCUUCGAAGACACACUAUGCCCACAGAACUAUUCCAACCCAUGGUCAAUGAAAAGCCCAGCCCUACCUGCAGAACAAAGCUUUGCAGUUUGUACCCAACAGUCAUUGCCAGGGACCAUGAACUGAUAAUCAGGACUUUUAGGCUGGGUGAAUAAAAAAUUGAUGGUUGAAAAUUUAGGAAAGAGUUAUCUUGUUUGUGUUUUGACAUAUUGGAGGAGUAGACAGAUAAAGACAAGGCUUGGGGGUAUUUCCAAUGACAAGGAGGUGCUUGGAGCUGGAGUUGAACCAGCGACCUUAGGAUCACAGCGUUUCACACAAGGAGCAUCUUACAGUCCACCGCUCUACCAACUGAGCUAUCAAGGUGCUCUCUAGUCACAAGUGCAGAAAACAUAGUGGCUUCGAAGACACACUAUGCCCACAGAACUAUUCCAACCCAUGGUCAAUGAAAAGCCCAGCCCUACCUGCAGAACAAAGCUUUGCAGUUUGUACCCAACAGUCAUUGCCAGGGACCCAGAACUGAUAAUCAGGACUUUUAGGCUGGGUGAAUAAAAAAUUGAUGGUUGAAAAUUUAAGAAAGAGUUAUCUUGUUUGUGUUUUGACAUUUUGGAGGAGUUGACAGAUAAAGACAAGGCUUGGGGGUAUUUCCAAUGACAAGGAGGUGCUUGGAGCUGGAGUUGAACCAGCGACCUUAGGUUCACAGCGUUUCACACAAGGAGCAUCUUACAGUCCAAAGCUCUACAAACUGAGCUAUCAAGGUGCUCUCUAGUCACAAGUGCAGAAAACAUAGUGGCUUCGAAGACACACUAUGCCCACAGAACUAAUUCCAACCCAUGGUCAAUGAAAAGCCCAGCCCUACCUGCAGAACAAAGCUUUGCAGUUUGUACCCAACAGUCAUUGCCAGGGACCCAGAACUGAUAAUCAGGACUUUUAGGCUGGGUGAAUAAAAAAUUGAUGGUUGAAAAUUUAAGAAAGAGUUAUCUUGUUUGUGUUUUGACAUUUUGGAGGAGUUGACAGAUAAAGACAAGGCUUGGUGGUAUUUCCAAUGACAAGGAGGUGCUUGGAGCUGGAGUUGAACCAGCGACCUUAGGAUCACAGCGUUUCACACAAGGAACAUCUUACAGUCCACCGCUCUACCAACUGAGCUAUCACGGUGCUCUCUAUUCACAAGUGCAGAAAACAUAGUGGCUUCGAAGACACACUAUGCCCACAGAACUAUUCCAACCCAUGGUCAAUGAAAAGCCCAGCCCUACCUGCAGAACAAAGCUUUGCAGUUUGUACCCAACAGUCAUUGCCAGGGACCCAGAACUGAUAAUCAGGACUUUUAGGCUGGGUGAAUAAAAAAUUGAUGGUUGAAAAUUUAAGAAAGAGUUAUCUUGUUUGUGUUUUGACAUUUUGGAGGAGUUGACAGAUAAAGACAAGGCUUGGGGGUAUUUCCAAUGACAAGGAGGUGCUUGGAGCUGGAGUUGAACCAGCGACCUUAGGAUCACAGCGUUUCACACAAGGAGCAUCUUACAGUCCAAAGCUCUACAAAAUGAGCUAUCAAGGUGCUCUCUAGUCACAAGUGCAGAAAACAUAGUGGCUUUGAAGACACACUAUGCCCACAGAACUAUUCCAACCCAUGGUCAAUGAAAAGCCCAGCCCUACCUGCAGAACAAAGCUUUGCAGUUUGUACCCAACAGUCAUUGCCAGGGACCCAGAACUGAUAAUCAGGACUUUUAGGCUGGGUGAAUAAAAAAUUGAUGGUUGAAAAUUUAAGAAAGAGUUAUCUUGUUUGUGUUUUGACAUUUUGGAGGAGUUGACAGAUAAAGACAAGGCUUGGGGGUAUUUCCAAUGACGUGCUUGGAGCUGGAGUUGAACCAGCGACCUUAGGAUCACAGCGUUUCACACAAGGAGCAUCUUACAGUCCACCGCUCUACCAACUGAGCUAUCAAGGUGCUCUCUAGUCACAAGUGCAGAAAACAUAGUGGCUUCGAAGACACACUAUGCCCACAGAACUAUUCCAACCCAUGGUCAAUGAAAAGCCCAGCCCUACCUGCAGAACAAAGCUUUGCAGUUUGUACCCAACAGUCAUUGCCAGGGACCCAGAACUGAUAAUCAGGACUUUUAGGCUGGGUGAAUAAAAAAUUGAUGGUUGAAAAUUUAAGAAAGAGUUAACUUGUUUGUGUUUGACAUUUUGGAGGAGUUGACAGAUAAAGACAAGGCUUGGGGGUAUUUCCAAUGACAAGGAGGUGCUUGGAGCUGGAGUUGAACCAGCGACCUUAGGAUCACAGCGUUUCACACAAGGAGCAUCUUACAGUUCACCGCUGUACCAACUGAGCUAUCAAGGUGCUCCCUAGUCACAAGUGCAGAAAACAUAGUGGCUUCGAAGACACACUAUGCCCACAGAACUAUUCCAACCCAUGGUCAAUGAAAAGCCCAGCCCUACCUGCAGAACAAAGCUUUGCAGUUUGUACCCAACAGUCAUUGCCAGGGACCCAGAACUGAUAAUCAGGACUUUUAGGCUGGGUGAAUAAAAAAUUGAUGGUUGAAAAUUUAAGAAAGAGUUAUCUUGUUUGUGUUUUCACAUUUUGGAGGAGUUGACAGAUAAAGACAAGGCUUGGGGGUAUUUCCAAUGACAAGGAGGUGUUUGGAGCUGGAGUUGAACCAGCGACCUUAGGAUCACAGCGUUUCACACAAGGAACAUCUUACAGUCCACCGCUCUACCAACUGAGCUAUCACGGUGCUCUCUAUUCACAAGUGCAGAAAACAUAGUGGCUUCGAAGACACACUAUGCCCACAGAACUAUUCCAACCCAUGGUCAAUGAAAAGCCCAGCCCUACCUGCAGAACAAAGCUUUGCAGUUUGUACCCAACAGUCAUUGCCAGGGACCCAGAACUGAUAAUCAGGACUUUUAGGCUGGGUGAAUAAAAAAUUGAUGGUUGAAAAUUUAAGAAAGAGUUAUCUUGUUUGUGUUUUGACAUUUUGGAGGAGUUGACAGAUAAAGACAAGGCUUGGGGGUAUUUCCAAUGACAAGCUUGGAGCUGGAGUUGAACAAGCGGCCUUAGGAUCACAGUGUUUCACACAAGGAGAAUCUUACAGUCCACCGCUCUACCAACUGAGCUAUCACGGUGCUCUCUAGUCAAAAGUGCAGAAAACAUAGUGGCUUCGAAGACACACUAUGCCCACAGAACUAUUCCAACCCAUGGUCAAUGAAAAGCCCAGCCCUACCUGAAGAACAAAGCUUUGCAGUUUGUACCCAACAGUCAUUGCCAGGGACCCAGAACUGAUAAUCAGGACUUUUAGGCUGGGUGAAUAAAAAAUUGAUGGUUGAAAAUUUAAGAAAGAGUUAUCUUGUUUGUGUUUUGACAUUUUGGAGGAGUUGACAGAUAAAGACAAGGCUUGGUGGUAUUUCCAAUGACUUGCUUGGAGAUGGAGUUGAACCAACGACCUUUGGAUCACAGCGUUUCACACAAGGAGCAUCUUACAGUCCACCGCUCUACCAACUGAGCUAUCAAGGUGCUCUCUAGUCACAAGUGCAGAAAACAUAGUGGCUUCGAAGACACACUAUGCCCACAGAACUAUUCCAACCCAUGGUCAAUGAAAAGCCCAGCCCUACCUGCAGAACAAAGCUUUGCAGUUUGUACCCAACAGUCAUUGCCAGGGACCCAGAACUGAUAAUCAGGACUUUUAGGCUGGGUGAAUAAAAAAUUGAUGGUUGAAAAUUUAAGAAAGAGUUAUCUUGUUUGUGUUUUGACAUUUUGGAGGAGUUGACAGAUAAAGACAAGGCUUGGGGGUAUUUCCAAUGACAAGGAGGUGCUUGGAGCUGGAGUUGAACCAGCGACCUUAGGAUCACAGCGUUUCACACAAGGAACAUCUUACAGUCCACCGAUCUACCAACUGAGCUAUCACGGUGCUCUCUAUUCACAAGUGCAGAAAACAUAGUGGCUUCGAAGACACACUAUGCCCACAGAACUAUUCCAACCCAUGGUCAAUGAAAAGCCCAGCCCUACCUGCAGAACAAAGCUUUGCAGUUUGUACCCAACAGUCAUUGCCAGGGACCCAGAACUGAUAAUCAGGACUUUUAGGCUGGGUGAAUAAAAAAUUGAUGGUUGAAAAUUUAAGAAAGAGUUAUCUUGUUUGUGUUUUGACAUUUUGGAGGAGUUGACAGAUAAAGACAAGGCUUGGGGGUAUUUCCAAUGACAAGGAGGUGCUUGGAGCUGGAGUUGAACCAGCGACCUUAGGAUCACAGCCUUUCACACAAGGAGCAUCUUACAGUCCACCGCUCUACCAACUGAGCUAUCAAGGUGCUCUCUAUUCACAAGUGCAGAAAACAUAGUGGCUUCGAAGACACACUAUGCCCACAGAACUAUUCCAACC
Molecule: non-coding RNA, 7300 nt
Organism: Xyrichtys novacula (pearly razorfish)
Lineage: Eukaryota; Metazoa; Chordata; Actinopteri; Labriformes; Labridae
Source: the annotation of a GenBank genome assembly